Non-coding RNA from Nitrosospira sp. Nsp11, 92 nucleotides. The record is from Rfam. Lineage: Bacteria; Pseudomonadati; Pseudomonadota; Betaproteobacteria; Nitrosomonadales; Nitrosomonadaceae.
UCUCCCGCUUUUCCUCCCUGAGCGGGUACCUUAAUCCCUAUUAAGGUAUGUUUGCCCCCGGUUUUAUUCCCCUUUAACCGGGGGUUUUUUAU